GGUGACAUUGGGGACUGGUCUAGAAGGUGUUCUAACCCAGACAAGAGUGCGAUCGACUUUUGGAGUGACUUCAGCUGACUUGUGGAAGCUCUUGAAGACUCAACUUGAGCAGGUCCAGAGACCGUUUGAGCUGAGUUUGGAGCUUCUGUUGGGCUGUUUUGAGCUUAGUGAUAGAGCCAUCUACAGGAGAGGCUAGGGAACGUGGCAAGGGAG
Ananas comosus (pineapple) is the source of this 213-nucleotide long non-coding RNA. RefSeq lists it as uncharacterized. The transcript has 4 exons. The record is from RefSeq and is a predicted model, not a curated record. NCBI's taxonomy places the organism in Eukaryota, Viridiplantae, Streptophyta, Magnoliopsida, Poales, Bromeliaceae.